GUCCAGAUAUUUCCAUCGAGUUCAGAGUUUCGUAAAACAAAUCGAAUCAAUGCAUCAUGUUUAUCUUACGCCAGAUGCAGAUACUCCUCCAGGUCCAGCGCUACCCGUUCCAGCUCCAGAACCGGUUCCAGACCCACCUGGAAAUCCUCCGAAUCCUGGCUGAAGGACUCCUCCUUGUUGGAGACCGGCUGGUUGGAGACCCCCAAAUCCAGGUUGUUGGACAUGUCCAGGUUGUUGGGCAUGUCCACCUUGCUGCAAAGCUGCUGGCCUACCGAACCCUCCGUACUGGAGUCCAGGCUGACCGAAUAAG
Molecule: long non-coding RNA, 310 nt
Organism: Daphnia pulicaria
Lineage: Eukaryota; Metazoa; Arthropoda; Branchiopoda; Diplostraca; Daphniidae
Exons: 2
Source: RefSeq, a predicted model, not a curated record